UGGCAAGGAUGUAUGAAGUGAAAGAUCCAAAUGCCAUAUUUGUUUUUAAGUUCAGGACGCACUUUGGUGGAGGCAAUUCCACUGGUUUUGGCUUGAUCUAUGAUUCUGUUGAGAGUGCAAAGAAAUACGAGCCAAAAUACAGGCUCAUCAGGGAAGAAUUUCCGUUGAAGUAAUGGAUACACUGGCAAUUUGUAUACUUGCUGCUGAAGAUUAUCAUUAAUCUCUAUGGGCACAAAGUGAAUCAAGAUUUGUUUUUUGGUUGGUGGUUUUGAUCCAUCUAAUUUUGGAAUGUCCUUUUGGUCCUAGGAUACGCUGAAAAAUACUGGUCAAGAAACAGAGAAUAUAGGUUGGGAAUUACUUAACUCUCUAUGUCGCACCCGAUAUUAUUUCAUAUGAUUUAAUUAUCACAGGUUUGAUACGAAAGGCGAGCGACGUCUUCUCUGCACAACUCCAAUGAUCACUCACAUUGGGUCGGGCUCAAGGGUUUUCUUGGCAAUGCUGUGGCAAAAAGAUCCAUUGCCAGAUGCAAGCUGGAGCAGAUGACCCAAAAUCUGUUGUAUACUAGUUAAAUUAAGAGUAUAAUUUUGAAUGCAGUUCUGGACAACCACUGAAUAAAGUGAGUAUGCAACUUCCCAUUUACCAGCUCAAUUGUUCAAACUAUAAAGCUAUACUGUCUUUUUCUCUGUUCCUAGUUUACACCGUUCGUCCAAUUGGAUAUUGAUAGAUCAACGUGUCUAUUACUUCA
This is a long non-coding RNA of Olea europaea var. sylvestris, 745 nucleotides long. RefSeq lists it as uncharacterized. Lineage: Eukaryota; Viridiplantae; Streptophyta; Magnoliopsida; Lamiales; Oleaceae. The record is from RefSeq and is a predicted model, not a curated record. The transcript has 2 exons.